CAGGGUACCCUUUGACCCAGUUCAACCAAAUGAACUAAAAUUUUAAAAUGACAACUUUUUGAAAAACUAGUUCAUUUGUUUGAACUAAGGAGGGUCAAAGGGUACCCUG
This is a non-coding RNA of Brachypodium distachyon (stiff brome), 109 nucleotides long. The record is from Rfam. NCBI's taxonomy places the organism in Eukaryota, Viridiplantae, Streptophyta, Magnoliopsida, Poales, Poaceae.